GACCUCCAUAACAAAGUACCACAGGCUGGGUGGCUCUAGCAACAGCAAUUUAUUUUCUCAAAGUUCUGGAGGCUGAAAGUCCAAGAUCAAGGUUGUUGCUUCUGAGGCCGCUCUCCUUGGCUUACAGAUGGCCGUCUACUCAGUCCAGGAGAUAAUCAAGAGUCUGGCACCCUUUUUGAGUCUAAUAAAAAACAUUUAUAAUCUA
Molecule: long non-coding RNA, 205 nt
Organism: Pan troglodytes (chimpanzee)
Lineage: Eukaryota; Metazoa; Chordata; Mammalia; Primates; Hominidae
Exons: 2
Source: RefSeq, a predicted model, not a curated record